GAUAUUUUGCAAGCCCCCCUUCCUCACGCACACACAUUGUCUACCUCACGGACAGACAUACCUAACUAAAAUCCCCACCUAGCCACCGCCGCCGCCACCUCCGUGCGCUCGGCCGAUACGGUCGCGCCGCUGCCCCUCCCACCCCCGGUGUUGAAUUCAGAAGCUCCUGUCAAAUCUGCUGUGCCUCCCCACCAUCCGCAGCUUGAGGUGCCGCUGGGCUAUCUGCUCACCUGGCGGGCGUCACGCCCGCUGGUUCGCUCUCGUCGCCGCCUCUCCCAGCUCCGGCCAUUUCUUCAGUAACUUACAUCCAGCAGCCCAUGGUAUCGACCUCAACGACCGGCGACCCCCGUCUUGCCCCGCCUCUAAGUCCAGCAGCUGCAGCCUACAGGUUGAGGAACUUGUCUACGACCCGCAGAGAGAAGACAUAUUUGUCAAAGAACAUACAUGUAAAACUGGAGUUUCUCCCACACUAAGCAGAGGCCCUAAUUAAACAACUUGAUGCAGCAACUGGCAUUUCCUCAAGCAAGCGAAAAUGUGGAAACACCCUCAGAGAUUGUAGCACAAAGAUGGCGACGAGGAACUUCUAAUUUAGAUGACUUUUCGUAUGUGAUAUUAGGUAGUAUAGCAUCUGGGAGGAUCAAUCGCUUGGGUCUGGAGGAUCAGUUAAGCACAUGAAAAAGGAGACGACAAAUGGGGAUUGACAAGAAACAGACAGUAGCAAGUCCCCAGGUUGACCGAAUAAUGUCCUCAUGGUGCUGGCUUGGUGACCGAAGAUUUGGUCUUUUUGAUAAUAUUAUAUAGUGGUCGAGUGGUCAAACACUUGCCUCUUAGAAACAUUGGCUAUCAUAUUUUGCAAUAGGCCACGACUUGUAUGAUGAUACAUGUAUCUCCUUGAUGGUUGUAGUUAACUUGAGUGAAGAAAACUUGUGAAUCUUCUAUAUAUGUUGAAUGAAUAGAAGAGCCCAAUUGCUUGUGUA
Triticum urartu is the source of this 977-nucleotide long non-coding RNA. RefSeq lists it as uncharacterized. The record is from RefSeq and is a predicted model, not a curated record. NCBI's taxonomy places the organism in Eukaryota, Viridiplantae, Streptophyta, Magnoliopsida, Poales, Poaceae.